GAUCAGAUGGAUAAAACUAUAAGUACUUAUGGAGCAAGAUAUAUAUGCAUGGAUAUGAAUGGGUCAUUCAUCAAAUAGCUACUGAUUGCCUCCACUGUGUUUCUAGAUAAUGGGGAUAAAAUAGUUAACAAAACACACAAAAUCCCUACUCUUCUGGAGCCUUUGUUUCCAGUGGGGAAGAUAGACAAGAAAUGCAAUGGUUUUUCUGACUUCUCAGGGCUCUGAGACAGAAAAGUCUCCUCAUGGAACAUCACGGUCUUCCAGGAUCUCCAGGCCAACC
This 280-nucleotide long non-coding RNA is filed under the name Mustela putorius furo (domestic ferret). RNAcentral's name for it is "lncRNA (ENSMPUG00000025158.1)". Lineage: Eukaryota; Metazoa; Chordata; Mammalia; Carnivora; Mustelidae. The record is from RNAcentral.